UACGUAGGGGGCAAGCGUUAUCCGGAUUUACUGGGUGUAAAGGGAGCGUAGACGGUAAAGCAAGUCUGAAGUGAAAUGCCAGUGCUCAACACUGGAACUGCUUUGGAAACUGUUUGGCUGGAGUGCAGGAGAGGUAAGUGGAAUUCCUAGUGUAGCGGUGAAAUGCGUAGAUAUUGGGAGGAACACCAGUGGCGAAGGCGGCUUACUGGACUGUAACUGACGUUGAGGCUCGAAAGCGUGGGGAGCAAACAGG
RNAcentral lists this ribosomal RNA (253 nucleotides) under uncultured bacterium. RNAcentral's name for it is "partial 16S ribosomal RNA". It matches the Rfam family "Bacterial small subunit ribosomal RNA", at positions 524 to 776 of the family's 1533-position model. The record is from RNAcentral.